RNAcentral lists this ribosomal RNA (492 nucleotides) under uncultured bacterium. RNAcentral describes it as "partial 16S ribosomal RNA". It matches the Rfam family "Bacterial small subunit ribosomal RNA", at positions 29 to 507 of the family's 1533-position model. The record is from RNAcentral.
AGUGAACGCCGGCGGUAGGCCUAACACAUGCAAGUCGAACGGCAGCACAGUAAGAGCUUGCUCUUACGGGUGGCGAGUGGCGGACGGGUGAGGAAUACAUCGGAAUCUACUUUUUCGUGGGGGAUAACGUAGGGAAACUUACGCUAAUACCGCAUACGACCUACGGGUGAAAGCAGGGGAUCUUCGGACCUUGCGCGAUUGAAUGAGCCGAUGUCGGAUUAGCUAGUUGGCGGGGUAAAGGCCCACCAAGGCGACGAUCCGUAGCUGGUCUGAGAGGAUGAUCAGCCACACUGGAACUGAGACACGGUCCAGACUCCUACGGGAGGCAGCAGUGGGGAAUAUUGGACAAUGGGCGCAAGCCUGAUCCAGCCAUACCGCGUGGGUGAAGAAGGCCUUUGGGUUGUAAAGCCCUUUUGUUGGGAAAGAAAAGCAGCAGGUUAAUACCCCGCUGUUCUGACGGUACCCAAAGAAUAAGCACCGGCUAACUUCGUG